RNAcentral lists this transfer RNA (45 nucleotides) under Amazona leucocephala (cuban parrot). RNAcentral describes it as "partial tRNA-Val". The record is from RNAcentral. Lineage: Eukaryota; Metazoa; Chordata; Aves; Psittaciformes; Psittacidae.
CAGCUUACACCUGAAAGAUAUCUGUCACCUAUCAGAUCGUCUUGA